Molecule: long non-coding RNA, 861 nt
Organism: Ruditapes philippinarum (Manila clam)
Lineage: Eukaryota; Metazoa; Mollusca; Bivalvia; Venerida; Veneridae
Exons: 2
Source: RefSeq, a predicted model, not a curated record
UUGCAUUUGGACCCCCUGGGGUCAAGGUCAAGGUCACCGUUACUAAAAAUAGAAAAAUGGUUUCCGGACAAUAACUAGAGUUAGGAAUGAGAUAUUGUUAUCAAACUUGGUGUAUAGCAAGCUUAUAUGAAGACCUGGGUUGGUAUUGCAUUUGGACCCCCUGGGGUCAAGGUCAAGGUCACCAUUCCUAAAAAUAGAAAAAUGGUUUCCGGACAAUAACUAGAGUUAGGAAUGAGAUAUUGUAAUCAAACUUUGUGAAAAGCAAGCUUAUUUGGAGACCCCAGUUGGGAUUACAAUUAAUUGAAAUAUUUCUUUGUACACAGUUGAUAGUUUGUGUUGAAAUUUUUCUUCAGACUACUUAUUUUUCAAAAAGUUUCUGGUGGGGGUAUUAAUCACCUUCAGUGAUAGGUCUAGUUUGUUUUGUUGCAAAGUUUAAAGGUUUAACAAUUACUUGAUAACAAUUUAUGACUAUAAUUAACACUUAUGUUAUUUUUUCUUUUAAAUUCGCUCCUUUGAAUUAAAAAUAUCUUCUUAUACAUGUACAAUUUUGUCUAUAUUUGUGUAGAAAAACUAUCACAUUUUUUUUUUUUUAAAAGUGUUAUAAUGGGAGAUUUUUUUUGCUACUGCAGCUAUGUUAUAAUACAAUAUAGUUUAAGUAGGACAGGGUACUGGUUCAGACAUAUUUUGAUGUACGUUUCAUGUUUAAUUUCAUCUCAUAAUUGACCAAAUUAUUAUUGUUGAUUAUACCUUGUUCAGUUUUAAAGGCAUACACAUUUUCCGUUUAUUGAAAUAAUAUUGUUUGUGUGUUGUUCCAAUAUGUUAUUGAUAAUAAUGAAAUGUUUAAUAAAUUUUGAAAUCCUA